Molecule: ribosomal RNA, 246 nt
Filed under: uncultured bacterium
Lineage: Bacteria
Description: partial 16S ribosomal RNA
Rfam family: Bacterial small subunit ribosomal RNA
Source: RNAcentral
CGUAGGGAGCGAGCGUUGUCCGGAAUUACUGGGUGUAAAGGGAGCGUAGGCGGGAUGGCAAGUCAGAUGUGAAAACUAUGGGCUCAACCCAUAGACUGCAUUUGAAACUGUUGUUCUUGAGUGAGGUAGAGGUAAGCGGAAUUCCUGGUGUAGCGGUGAAAUGCGUAGAGAUCAGGAGGAACAUCGGUGGCGAAGGCGGCUUACUGGGCCUUUACUGACGCUGAGGCUCGAAAGCGUGGGGAGCAA